Molecule: ribosomal RNA, 579 nt
Filed under: uncultured Staphylococcus sp.
Lineage: Bacteria; Bacillati; Bacillota; Bacilli; Caryophanales; Staphylococcaceae
Description: bacterial SSU rRNA
Rfam family: Bacterial small subunit ribosomal RNA
Source: RNAcentral
ACGGGUGAGUAACACGUAGGUAAUCUACCUAUAAGACUGGGAUAACUUCGGGAAACCGGAGCUAAUACCGGAUAAUAUUUCGAACCGCAUGGUUCGAUAGUGAAAGAUGGCUUUGCUAUCACUUAUAGAUGGACCUGCGCCGUAUUAGCUAGUUGGUAAGGUAACGGCUUACCAAGGCAACGAUACGUAGCCGACCUGAGAGGGUGAUCGGCCACACUGGAACUGAGACACGGUCCAGACUCCUACGGGAGGCAGCAGUAGGGAAUCUUCCGCAAUGGGCGAAAGCCUGACGGAGCAACGCCGCGUGAGUGAUGAAGGUCUUCGGAUCGUAAAACUCUGUUAUUAGGGAAGAACAAACGUGUAAGUAACUGUGCACGUCUUGACGGUACCUAAUCAGAAAGCCACGGCUAACUACGUGCCAGCAGCCGCGGUAAUACGUAGGUGGCAAGCGUUAUCCGGAAUUAUUGGGCGUAAAGCGCGCGUAGGCGGUUUUUUAAGUCUGAUGUGAAAGCCCACGGCUCAACCGUGGAGGGUCAUUGGAAACUGGAAAACUUGAGUGCAGAAGAGGAAAGUGGAAUU